RNAcentral lists this microRNA precursor (76 nucleotides) under Myotis lucifugus (little brown bat). RNAcentral's name for it is "mir-9229 microRNA precursor family". It matches the Rfam family "mir-9229 microRNA precursor family". The record is from Rfam by way of RNAcentral. Lineage: Eukaryota; Metazoa; Chordata; Mammalia; Chiroptera; Vespertilionidae.
GAGACACCCUUCUGGGGCAAGACUUGCUUCAGUGGGGCUUUGGUGCUCACUGAGUCUGCUCCCUGAGUGUGUCUUU